CAGCUCAUUAAGCCAACUGCGUUCCUUUCCUCAUGGGGUCUGGUGAGCAGUGGCUACAAACAGCAGCCUCCUUGGUUGUGUUCAUAAUCUGCUCCUUGUACAGGUUGCCCUAAGGGGCCUUGGAGACAGUU
Molecule: small nucleolar RNA, 131 nt
Filed under: Jaculus jaculus (lesser Egyptian jerboa)
Lineage: Eukaryota; Metazoa; Chordata; Mammalia; Rodentia; Dipodidae
Description: Small nucleolar RNA SNORA70 (ENSJJAG00000007460.1)
Rfam family: Small nucleolar RNA SNORA70
About the family: snoRNA U70 seems to be exclusive to mammals and is a member of the H/ACA class of snoRNA which contain H (ANANNA) and ACA box motifs. H/ACA box snoRNAs are involved in the conversion of uridines to pseudouridines (5-ribosyluracil) a constituent of structural RNAs (transfer, ribosomal, small nuclear, and small nucleolar).
Source: RNAcentral